GACGAACGCUGGCGGCGUGCUUAACACAUGCAAGUCGAACGGAAAGGCCCCUUUGGGGGUACUCGAGUGGCGAACGGGGGAGGAACACGUGAGUAACCUUCACUUGACUUCAGGAUAACGUCAGGAAACGGGGGCUAAUACCGGUACGGAAUCAUUGCUGCAUGGGGGGGGUUGGAAAGCUUCGGAGGGUUUGGAUGGACUCGCGGCUUAUCGGCUUGUUGGUGGGGUAGGGGCUUACCAAGGCGGUGACGGGAAGCAGGCCUGAGGAGGCGACCGGCGACAUUGGGACUGAGAUACGGCCCAGACUGCUACGGGAGGCAGCAGGGGGGAAUAUUGCACAAUGGGCGGAGGCCUGAUGAAGAAGCGCCGCGUGCGGGAUAACGGCCUUCGGGUUGUAGAACGCUUUCAGCAGGAGCGAAGCUUGUGGUGACGGUACCUGCAGAAGAAGCACCGGCUAACUACGUG
This 465-nucleotide ribosomal RNA is filed under the name uncultured bacterium. RNAcentral describes it as "partial 16S ribosomal RNA". It matches the Rfam family "Bacterial small subunit ribosomal RNA", at positions 28 to 507 of the family's 1533-position model. The record is from RNAcentral.